UGCCUAAUACAUGCAAGUCGAACGAGUUCUGAUUAUUGAAAGGUGCUUGCAUCUUGAUUUAAUUUUGAACGAGUGGCGGACGGGUGAGUAACACGUGGGUAACCUGCCCUUAAGUGGGGGAUAACAUUUGGAAACAGAUGCUAAUACCGCAUAAAUCCAAGAACCGCAUGGUUCUUGGCUGAAAGAUGGCGUAAGCUAUCGCUUUUGGAUGGACCCGCGGCGUAUUAGCUAGUUGGUGAGGUAACGGCUCACCAAGGCAAUGAUACGUAGCCGAACUGAGAGGUUGAUCGGCCACAUUGGGACUGAGACACGGCCCAAACUCCUACGGGAGGCAGCAGUAGGGAAUCUUCCACAAUGGACGCAAGUCUGAUGGAGCAACGCCGCGUGAGUGAAGAAGGCUUUCGGGUCGUAAAACUCUGUUGUUGGAGAAGAAUGGUCGGCAGAGUAACUGUUGUCGGCGUGACGGUAUCCAACCAGAAAGCCACGGCUAACUACGUGCCAGCAGCCGCGGUAAUACGUAGGUGGCAAGCGUUAUCCGGAUUUAUUGGGCGUAAAGCGAGCGCAGGCGGUUUUUUAAGUCUGAUGUGAAAGCCCUCGGCUUAACCGAGGAAGUGCAUCGGAAACUGGGAAACUUGAGUGCAGAAGAGGACAGUGGAACUCCAUGUGUAGCGGUGAAAUGCGUAGAUAUAUGGAAGAACACCAGUGGCGAAGGCGGCUGUCUGGUCUGUAACUGACGCUGAGGCUCGAAAGCAUGGGUAGCGAACAGGAUUAGAUACCCUGGUAGUCCAUGCCGUAAACGAUGAAUGCUAGGUGUUGGAGGGUUUCCGCCCUUCAGUGCCGCAGCUAACGCAUUAAGCAUUCCGCCUGGGGAGUACGACCGCAAGGUUGAAACUCAAAGGAAUUGACGGGGGCCCGCACAAGCGGUGGAGCAUGUGGUUUAAUUCGAAGCAACGCGAAGAACCUUACCAGGUCUUGACAUCUUUUGAUCACCUGAGAGAUCAGGUUUCCCCUUCGGGGGCAAAAUGACAGGUGGUGCAUGGUUGUCGUCAGCUCGUGUCGUGAGAUGUUGGGUUAAGUCCCGCAACGAGCGCAACCCUUAUGACUAGUUGCCAGCAUUUAGUUGGGCACUCUAGUAAGACUGCCGGUGACAAACCGGAGGAAGGUGGGGAUGACGUCAAAUCAUCAUGCCCCUUAUGACCUGGGCUACACACGUGCUACAAUGGAUGGUACAACGAGUUGCGAGACCGCGAGGUCAAGCUAAUCUCUUAAAGCCAUUCUCAGUUCGGACUGUAGGCUGCAACUCGCCUACACGAAGUCGGAAUCGCUAGUAAUCGCGGAUCAGCACGCCGCGGUGAAUACGUUCCCGGGCCUUGUACACACCGCCCGUCACACCAUGAGAGUUUGUAACACCCGAAGCCGGUGGCGUAACCCUUUUAGGGAGCGAGCCGUCUAAGGUGGGACAAAUGAUUAGGGUGAA
RNAcentral lists this ribosomal RNA (1477 nucleotides) under uncultured organism. RNAcentral's name for it is "16S ribosomal RNA". It matches the Rfam family "Bacterial small subunit ribosomal RNA". The record is from RNAcentral.